This is a non-coding RNA of Mycena rosella, 73 nucleotides long. The record is from the annotation of a GenBank genome assembly. NCBI's taxonomy places the organism in Eukaryota, Fungi, Basidiomycota, Agaricomycetes, Agaricales, Mycenaceae.
GCACCAGUAGUGUAUGGAACACGCCGUUUACUGAUACUUGCGGCGGAACAGGGCUCGAUUCCCCGCUGGUGCA